GAGGAAGUAAAAGUCGUAACAAGGUUUCCGUAGGUGAACCUGCGGAAGGAUCAUUAUUGAAUUAACUUGUUGGGUUGUAGCUGGCUCUUAGGAGCAUGUGCACACCCUUCAUUGUUUUUCCACCUGUGCACUUUAUGUAGUCCUGGAAGUCUUGCAAAAGAUACACCAGCUCARAAGGUUUACUCCUAUCUGAGUUUCCAGGUCUAUGUUCUCAUAUACCCCAUUAGAAUGUUCAGAAUGUCAUUUAUAGGCUUUAAUGCCAUUAAACUUAAUACAACUUUCAACAACGGAUCUCUUGGUUCUCGCAUCGAUGAAGAACGCAGCGAAAUGCGAUAAGUAAUGUGAAUUGCAGAAUUCAGUGAAUCAUCGAAUCUUUGAACGCACCUUGCGCUCCCUGGUAUUCCGGGGAGCAUGCCUGUUUGAGUGUCAUUAAAUUCUCAACCUCACCAUCUUUUACUAGUUGGUGUAGGCUUGGAUGUGGGGGUUGCAGGCUUCUCAGAAGUCAGCUCUCCUUAAAUGCAUUAGCGGAACCUUUGUGGACCGUCAUUGGUGUGAUAAUUAUCUACGCCGUUGUCGUGAAGCAGCUUACAUGGGGCUCAGCUUAUAACCGUCCAUUAACUUGGACAACUCUUGACAUUUUGACCUCAAAUCAGGUAGGACUACCCGCUGAACUUAAGCAUAU
This is a ribosomal RNA of 682 nucleotides. The stretch from base 276 to 429 matches the Rfam family "5.8S ribosomal RNA".